CUUGAACGCUGGCGGCAGGCCUAACACAUGCAAGUCGAACGAGUGGCGGACGGGUGAGUAAUGUCUGGGCAACUGCCUGAUGGAGGGGGAUAACUACUGGAAACGGUAGCUAAUACCGCAUACCAUCCGAUUUGCCCAGAUGGGAUUAGCUAGUUGGUGGGGUAACGGCUCACCAGGGCGACGAUCCCUAGCUGGUCUGCGAGGAUGACAAGCCACACUGGAACUGGGACACGGGCCAGACUCCGACGGGAGGCAGAAGUGGGGAAUAUUGCACAAUGGGCGCAAGCCUGAUGCAGCCAUGCGGCGUGUAUGAAGAAGGCCGUCGGGUUGUAAAGUACUUUCAGCGGGGAGGCGUUACCCGCAGAAGAAGCACCGGCUAACUCCGUGCCAGCAGCCGCGGUAAUAC
This 406-nucleotide ribosomal RNA is filed under the name uncultured bacterium. RNAcentral describes it as "partial 16S ribosomal RNA". It matches the Rfam family "Bacterial small subunit ribosomal RNA", at positions 30 to 526 of the family's 1533-position model. The record is from RNAcentral.